RNAcentral lists this ribosomal RNA (502 nucleotides) under uncultured bacterium. RNAcentral's name for it is "bacterial SSU rRNA". It matches the Rfam family "Bacterial small subunit ribosomal RNA", at positions 28 to 520 of the family's 1533-position model. The record is from RNAcentral.
GAUGAACGCUAGCGGCAGGCUUAAUACAUGCAAGUCGAGGGGCAGCAUGGUGUAGCAAUACACUGAUGGCGACCGGCAAACGGGUGCGGAACACGUACAGAACCUUCCUUCGAGCGGGGAAUAGCCCAGAGAAAUUUGGAUUAAUACCCCAUAGUAUUAUGGAGUGGCAUCACUUUGUAAUUAAAGAUUUAUCACUUGAAGAUGGCUGUGCGGCUGAUUAGGUAGUUGGCGGGGUAACGGCCCACCAAGCCUGCGAUCAGUAACUGGUGUGAGAGCACGACCAGUCACACGGGCACUGAGACACGGGCCCGACUCCUACGGGAGGCAGCAGUAAGGAAUAUUGGGUCAAUGGACGAAAGUCUGAACCAGCCAUGCCGCGUGGAGGAUGAAGGUCCUCUGGAUUGUAAACUUCUUUUAUAUGGGACGAAAAAGGCCUUUACGUAGGUCGUCUGACGGUACCAUAUGAAUAAGCACCGGCUAACUCCGUUGCCAGCAGCCGCGG